This 207-nucleotide ribosomal RNA is filed under the name uncultured bacterium. Its description in RNAcentral is "partial 16S ribosomal RNA". It matches the Rfam family "Bacterial small subunit ribosomal RNA", at positions 568 to 774 of the family's 1533-position model. The record is from RNAcentral.
AGCGUAGGUGGCCUUAUAAGUCAGUGGUGAAAUCUCUGGGCUUAACCCAGAAAUUGCCAUUGAUACUGUAGGGCUUGAGUAUAGAUGCCGUUGGCGGAAUAUGACAUGUAGUGGUGAAAUACAUAGAGAUGUCAUAGAACACCGAUUGCGAAGGCAGCUAACGAAACUAUAACUGACACUGAGGCUCGAAAGUGUGGGGAUCAAACA